Long non-coding RNA from Sapajus apella (tufted capuchin), 506 nucleotides. RefSeq lists it as uncharacterized. The record is from RefSeq and is a predicted model, not a curated record. NCBI's taxonomy places the organism in Eukaryota, Metazoa, Chordata, Mammalia, Primates, Cebidae. The transcript is spliced from 3 exons.
CUCGGCCUCCCAAAGUGCUGGGAUUACAGGCGUGAGCCACCGCGCCGGUCCGGACAAAUGAACCUUUAAUAGCGGGGGCACCAUUAGGAUGUCCUGAUCCAACAUCGAGGUCAUAAACCUUAUUGUCGAUGUGGACUCUGGAAUAGGAUUGCGCUGUUAUCCCUAGGGUAACUUAGUCCAUUGAUAAGUUAUUGGGUCAAUAAAUGUAGAUUUACUUAGACUAGUAACGUCUUGGUAUAUGUUUUUAGGGGGCUGCGUUAUACUCCAAGGUCACCCCAACCGAAAUUUAUAAUACGUAGAUGGUGGGUUAGUGCCUGUGGGUUUUUAAGAUACUCGUUUGUAUUAUUAAAUUGAAGCUCCAUAGGGUCUUCUCAUCUUAUUUAGGUAUAUCCACCUCUUCACGGAUAGGUCAAUUUCACUGAUUAAAAGUAAGAGACAGUUAAACCCUCGUGUGGCCAUUCAUACAUGUCCCUAUUUGGAGAACAAACCCACAGGCAAAAAUCUGG